CCUACGGGUGGCAGCAGUGGGGGAUAUUGCACAAUGGGGGGAACCCUGAUGCAGCGACGCCGCGUGGGUGAAGAAGCGCCUCGGCGCGUAAAGCCCUGUCAGCAGGGAAGAAAAUGACGGUACCUGAAGAAGAAGCCCCGGCUAACUACGUGCCAGCAGCCGCGGGAAUACGUAGGGGGCAAGCGUUAUCCGGAUUUACGUGGGGUAAAGGGGGCGCAGACGGCGAUGCAAGCCAGGAGUGAAAGCCCGGGGCCCAACCCCGGGACUGCGUUUGGAACUGCGUGGCUGGAGUGCAGGAGGGGGAGGCGGAAUUCCUGGUGGAGCGGGGAAAUGCGGAGAGAGCAGGAGGAACACCGGUUGCGAAGGCGGCCUGCUGGACUGCAACUGACGUUGAGGCCCGAAAGCGUGGGGAGCAAACAGGAUUAGAUACCCCAGUAGUC
This 440-nucleotide ribosomal RNA is filed under the name uncultured bacterium. Its description in RNAcentral is "partial 16S ribosomal RNA". It matches the Rfam family "Bacterial small subunit ribosomal RNA", at positions 338 to 795 of the family's 1533-position model. The record is from RNAcentral.